GCGAGUAUGGCCCUCACGGGUCUAAUCCACCACAAACACCUUUGUGAACCAGUCAGGGGGGACUCGGCCGUGAAAGCCCAGGCGAUUAGCGGAAGGGCCCUCCUUUGCAAACCCGUUUAGAAGUCUUGAAAGUACUUUUGUAUAAUCUAGUA
Molecule: unclassified non-coding RNA, 152 nt
Filed under: soil metagenome
Description: partial internal transcribed spacer 1
Source: RNAcentral